GACGUAGGGCGCGAGCGUUGUCCGGAUUUAUUGGGCGUAAAGAGCUCGUAGGCGGCUUGUUGCGUCAGCUGUGAAAACCCGCAGCUCAACUGUGGGCUUGCAGCUGAUACGGGCAGGCUAGAGUCUGGUAGGGGGAUCUGGAAUUCCUGGUGUAGCGGUGGAAUGCGCAGAUAUCAGGAGGAACACCGGUGGCGAAGGCGGGU
RNAcentral lists this ribosomal RNA (203 nucleotides) under uncultured bacterium. Its description in RNAcentral is "partial 16S ribosomal RNA". It matches the Rfam family "Bacterial small subunit ribosomal RNA", at positions 524 to 726 of the family's 1533-position model. The record is from RNAcentral.